Molecule: long non-coding RNA, 1047 nt
Organism: Mesocricetus auratus (golden hamster)
Lineage: Eukaryota; Metazoa; Chordata; Mammalia; Rodentia; Cricetidae
Exons: 6
Source: RefSeq, a predicted model, not a curated record
GUAAGCUUUUUGUACUUUCAGAGGCAUCUCCUUCUUCAGGAUUGACUCUAACCCUGCCCCCAGAGCACAGGAAGAACUAUGGAAGACAGAGUGAAAGAACAUUAAGAGCUGAAGGAAGGACAGCAGCCAUGAUUGCCUGCACAAGAUCUGCACACGUCUAGAUGUAAGCAGUUAAUGGCAGGGGUCAGUUUCGUCCACUGGAAAAAGAAGUUAGGAGGCUCAGAUGGCACACAUCUGGAGAACAUCCCGUGGAAAACUUGUGAAUGGAGAGAGUUGACUGCAACUCUUCCUGCCUGAAAGAGCCCACACAUCAUGUGGCAGAUCCUUGGGUUUAGAUGCAUACAGGUGGUGCUACCAGCUCCAGCUCCUCACUGCAGCAUUAUUGGUUUUCUCGGCUUUAUUUUGGACGUAGUCAAAGGAAGCGCUGCCUAAGCUAUUCUUGCCUGUGUUUUGUGACAUGGCAUCCACAAUCCAUCUAUGAUGAUAUGUUGUACAGUUAAAAACUUGUCAGUUCGUGAAAACUAUUGCUGAAGACACCAAUUACUUAUGUAAUUGAACAUGAAGAAAUUGAGCUGGUGCCCAAGACUAGCAGUCAUGAUGCUGGAAGGUACUCUACAGACUACUACUGAAGAGAAGUAAUCACCAGUAUCACCAAGUUAUGAACCCUGCAAGCUACAAUACUGGUAAAAUAUUACGGGAGUUACCAACAACUUUUUUAAAAUUGGCCCACUCCAUGAGAUAGAAACCAUACCUAACACUGCCAACGUAACCAAGAAUCUAAGACUUUAUAUGUCAUAGACCCUAAGGGAAAACCUACUGUAAUUAUUCUGCUAAAUAAUAAAAAAUUACUCUUAAUGGUAUACUGCUAUCUCCAUAGACCAGAACAUCACUCAGUCCUCAUCAGAGAAGUACUCUGCCUGGAGCUACAUUCAAGAAUUACUUUCUUGCAAAAUUGUUGGUACUUUUUUCCUAUAAUUUAAAAUGUCAGAUUCCCAGUACAAUAAGUCACCAGUGUAUAGUUGAGGCCAGACUGCUGGCCAUGAAAAU